GGGUCGUUAGCUCAGUUGGUAGAGCAGUUGACUUUUAAUCAUCGAAUCCUGCACGACCCACCA
This 63-nucleotide transfer RNA is filed under the name Escherichia coli. RNAcentral describes it as "tRNA-Lys". It matches the Rfam family "tRNA". From Rfam's summary of the family: Transfer RNA (tRNA) molecules are approximately 80 nucleotides in length. The record is from RNAcentral. Lineage: Bacteria; Pseudomonadati; Pseudomonadota; Gammaproteobacteria; Enterobacterales; Enterobacteriaceae.